AACGCCCCGAAUUUAGAAUUAAUUAAUAAUUUUCGUAGGAGUUGUUGUGUUGAUUAUUGUUAAUUAUUUAAAUGUGUGUGAUGAGUAAUUAAAUAAUUGAUGAAUAAAUGAGUAAAAUGAUAAGUUGAAAAUAAAAGUGAAGAAAGAGUAGACGGGGUUGUAGAAAUUAUAUAAUAGGUGGAGAGGGGGUGUGAGUAAGAAAGAAUAGUAGAAAUAAUGAAAUUGGGCCUAGUAGAAAGAAAACCCAUGAAUAGUUAAAAGCAGAAUUUUUCCUUCUCGUGGAGGAAACCACUAGACUAAGUUAGAAACAAAGUUGAAAUCUAUCCACUUUUUUUUAUAAAAAAAAGAGAAGAGAAAAACAGAAUAGAGGAGCAAGGGAGAAAGAGAGAUUGACGCACGAGAGGGAGAAGAGAAAGAAGAGGAAAACAAAACUCACAACCAAAGAUUAAUUGCUAUUCCAAAUUUUCAGGUAGGCGAUGAGUCAUAGUUGCCGAGUUCGGGGAGCUUGUCCCUUGCUGUUUCAGUAAUUGAGUCGCUCUGAUAGGAUGUCUUGGGGGAUUCACGUAUAUAUUCAAUUAGUAUUUCUUCAAAAUGACUUGAACAGUGUCAAUUGGUUUUUGGAAUGAUUCUAUUGCUCUCAAUAAUUUUUUACUUCAAAUUUUAGAACUUAUGUUUAUUGGUUUUAA
This is a long non-coding RNA of Trifolium pratense (red clover), 686 nucleotides long. RefSeq lists it as uncharacterized. The record is from RefSeq and is a predicted model, not a curated record. NCBI's taxonomy places the organism in Eukaryota, Viridiplantae, Streptophyta, Magnoliopsida, Fabales, Fabaceae. The transcript is spliced from 2 exons.